RNAcentral lists this long non-coding RNA (201 nucleotides) under Lathyrus oleraceus (garden pea). RNAcentral's name for it is "Pisum sativum (pea) long non-coding RNA (PSAT_LNC028565)". The record is from RNAcentral. Lineage: Eukaryota; Viridiplantae; Streptophyta; Magnoliopsida; Fabales; Fabaceae.
UUAAAAAAUCACCACUUGGUAUACAUUCAUACAAAGAAUCAUUACCGAGUUAUAUUUUUCUAAACAAUUGCAAAACUAAACGAGAUAACCACUUUGUAUACAUUCAUACAAAUCAUUACAAGUUAAAUUCUCUUUUCAAAACCUUUUCUAAACCGCUUUCAAAAUUAAACGAGAUAAAUACUUUGUAUACAUUCAUACGAG